RNAcentral lists this transfer RNA (68 nucleotides) under Cynopterus brachyotis (lesser short-nosed fruit bat). RNAcentral's name for it is "tRNA-Val". The record is from RNAcentral. Lineage: Eukaryota; Metazoa; Chordata; Mammalia; Chiroptera; Pteropodidae.
CAAAGUGUAGCUUAUCCAAAGCACCUGGCCUACACCCAGAAGAUUCCAUAGAAACAUGGCCACUUUGA